This 424-nucleotide ribosomal RNA is filed under the name uncultured bacterium. Its description in RNAcentral is "partial 16S ribosomal RNA". It matches the Rfam family "Bacterial small subunit ribosomal RNA", at positions 360 to 776 of the family's 1533-position model. The record is from RNAcentral.
AAUAUUGGACAAUGGGCGAAAGCCUGAUCCAGCCAUGCCGCGUGUGUGAAGAAGGUCUUCGGAUUGUUAAGCACUCUAAGUUCGGAGGAAGCGGUUGACGCUAAUACCUUCAAUCUUUGACGUUACCAACAGAAUAAGCACCGGCUAACCCUGUGCCAGCAGCCGCGGUAAUACAGAGGGUGCAAGCGUUAAUCGGAAUUACUGGGCGUAAAGCGCGCGUAGGUGGUUCGUUAAGUUGGAGGUGAGAGCCCCGGGCUUAACCGCGGAAUUGCUUUCAAAACUGACGAGCUAGAGUACGGUAGAGGGUAGUGGAAUUUCCUGUGUAGCGGUGAAAUGCGUAGAUAUAGGAAGGAACAUCAGUGGCGAAGGCGACUACCUGGACUGAUACUGACACUGAGGUGCGAAAGCGUGGGGAGCAAACAGG